CCUCAUAGGACACCGUACCCGUGCUUCUCUUAGAUCUUUUGUUCUGUUGAUGUAAUAUAUUUAAAAAAUCAAAACUGCAAAAUGGUGGAAACCAGAGCCGUAUAGCAGCCCAUCCUUACACUGCGCACAUCUGAACGAGGCACAGCGGUGGCAGCGCUUAUUAUCAUUGUUAUAUGAAUAGGAAACAGGAUUAUCCCCUUCAACAAGAGAUUACAUCUCAACAGAUUAAUACAAACAGCCGGCUAUCGCGCACGGUUAUAAUUACGAAUAGAAAACGUUUACUUUGUGGCGCAUACAGAUGUUCUUGUGAAGGCGAGAGGUGAUUAACGUUCAGAUUUUUGUUUAAAUGACCAUGUUUUAAAGCAACGUCAUUUAUUAACCAAGUCACGUGUGAUUUCCAGUGUUUUGCAUUUCGUAGGUUAGUUACAUUUUCUAAAAUUACAAAUGUACAUCUUCCCUGCUGUGGUCAUCCAUAUUCUCUUGAAAUAGCACCAGUCUGGAUGGCAAAAACAGUGCAAGUAGUAACUUAAAUUUAAUUGGAAUACAAAAAUAUCUAUUCAUCAUGCCAAAUGAGUUCAAAAGAAAAAAUCUGAGUGAGGAAAAGAAGGGUGAAAUUCUGGCUUUGCUAGCAGAGGGAUUCAGUGAGCGUCAGGUUGCUUCCAUCCUCAAAAUUUCAAAGACGGCAGUUCAUAAGAACAAGGUCAAGGCAGAGACAUUUGGGACCACAGAGUUACAGACUGGCAGAGGGCGAAAACGACUCUCCACUGAGCGGGAUGAUCGUCAGCUCCUUCGAAUGUCACGCAACAACCGCAGGAUGACAUCAAGUGACCUACAAAGAGAAUGGCAAAUGGCAGCUGGGGUUAAGUGCACAGCGAGGACGGUUCGAAACAGGCUACGGCAGGCGGGGUUGAAGUCGUGCAAAGCUAGAAAAAAGCCGACCAUCAAAGAGAAGCAAAGAGGAGCCAGGCUGAGGUUUGCAGAAGACCAUAAGCAUUGGACCAUAGAGGACUGGAGUAAGGUUUUCUUAUCUGCAGGACAAUGCUCCAUGCCACACAGCCAGGUCAAUCAAGAUGUGGAUGGAGGACCACAAGAUCAAGACCCUGUCAUGGCCAGUCCAAUCUCCAAACCUGAACCUCAGUGAAAACCUCUUGGUUGAAGGGGAAGAUGGAUGUUCCCAGGCCAUCAAAAAUAUGGAAUAUUAUAUAGCACUGUAUAACACAUAGAGAAUGUAAUCAUUAGGACACUAUUAAGAUGUAACCAGAAGAUGCUAAUGUAACCUGUAGAGAUUGUGACCUUGUAUCCUUUAGAGAAUGCAAUUACUGCUGCACAGUGUAACCAAAAUAAGCAUGUAUCUGCACCUUAUGUUAGCUUCGAAGUUUGUGAAUCUGCAUCUUAUGUCAGCCUUGGUUGUAUGAAUAUGCACCUUAUGUUAACCUCAAAGUUUCUGUAUCUUAUGUUAGCCUUGGCUGUAUGAAUAUGUACCUUAGGUAGCAUUGCAGCUUAUCACUAUGUUGAAGGCUAAGAAUAUAAUUAGGUCUGUGGCUAACCAGCCGACAUGACCACUCUAACUGGGCAUGGGCUCCGAGUGGGUUGGUAUGUGGGUUGUGACUGGGGCUCAUUUGGGCUGCCCAGGAAAGCAUAAAUGGUGUUCAGAUGGGCAGCCCAGAAAACCUGAAUAUAUGGGGCCCACAUUGGCCCUUAAUGGGUUUAUUCUUGUGAACAUAAAGUUCGUUCUCCUAUUGCAAAUCCUGUUCGUUUACUUUCUUUUAAUUUCAUUUGAAAUUUCUAUGUUAAUGCCAUUGAAAGCACUUUUCAUGCUUUUACAUAUUGAAUGUCAUUUUGUACACAAUACAUGAAAUGUUGAGAAAAUCUCUUCUGUCAGUGUGUGGAAUACGUAUUCACACAACAAUAUCCUGUAUCAGUGGAAGUACAUUCCUUAAGCUUAGAAUUUGCUUAAAGCUAUAGUUAUCUGUUCUCAUAUGUACUUCAGUGAUUAACUCUCAAUCAUUCAUACUGGAUGUCAUGUUAAUCUAAUGCAUAGCUGGGCAAUCUUAUCCACAAAGGGCCAAUGUGUAUGUAGGUUUUUGGGAUAACCAUUAGGUUAGCUGUUCAAACCCAGGUGUGAGGACUCUUCAGCCAAUCAGUUCUCUAAUUAGUAAUCUAAUUAGGGAGUUGCUGCGAAAACCUGCACACACAGCGGCCCUUUGCAGAUAAGGUUGCCCUCCCCUGAUCUAAUGCAUGACAUUAUGGUAUCAGCAUCUCUCAAAGUUGCUGAACUAAGUCUUGCCUUCAGUUGAAAUCUUGGUGGUGACUGGUGAAAUUGGUGAAGUCCCGCUGCACAUGAGACCACUGAAAUUAACCAAUCAUGUAUCACUCUUGCAAAUAAAUUAAUGUACUAUUGGCGGGCUUUCUUCAAUUUUUCUUCGAAGGUUGGACAAGCAUCAAACGUUCUCAAGCUAUCCUGAAGCAGAAAACAUCAAUAAAAAAGGAUAUUGAGCAUUCUCAAUUUUUCACAAAUGCUGGUGACCGUGACGGAAAUCGUGCACUAAGAGCUCACCGGGACCUUCAAACGAGGACAGAAUCUUCUGGGUAUGUAUCUGGCUGAUUGUUACUAUAAAGGCUCACUUCCCAUUGGCAUUAAUGCAGUACACGUGCACAGAUAGUUAUGCAG
This is a long non-coding RNA of Paramormyrops kingsleyae, 2671 nucleotides long. RefSeq lists it as uncharacterized. Lineage: Eukaryota; Metazoa; Chordata; Actinopteri; Osteoglossiformes; Mormyridae. The record is from RefSeq and is a predicted model, not a curated record.